GCGUUAAUCGGAAUUACUGGGCGUAAAGCGUGCGCAGGCGGUUUUGUAAGACAGAGGUGAAAUCCCCGGGCUCAACCUGGGAACUGCCUUUGUGACUGCAAGGCUGGAGUGCGGCAGAGGGGGAUGGAAUUCCGCGUGUAGCAGUGAAAUGCGUAGAUAUGCGGAGGAACACCGAUGGCGAAGGCAAUCCCCUGGGCCUGCACUGACGCUCAUGCACGAAAGCGUG
RNAcentral lists this ribosomal RNA (226 nucleotides) under uncultured bacterium. Its description in RNAcentral is "partial 16S ribosomal RNA". It matches the Rfam family "Bacterial small subunit ribosomal RNA", at positions 538 to 763 of the family's 1533-position model. The record is from RNAcentral.